Chiloscyllium plagiosum (whitespotted bambooshark) is the source of this 1754-nucleotide non-coding RNA. The record is from RefSeq and is a predicted model, not a curated record. NCBI's taxonomy places the organism in Eukaryota, Metazoa, Chordata, Chondrichthyes, Orectolobiformes, Hemiscylliidae.
UGGUAUUAUUCUAAAAGCAAUCACAACAUAUUCUAGAAAAUUAGACUGUACAAUACUGUUGCUAGUUUGGUUUAUCCAAUAUAAAUGCAAAUUAAAGUUGCAAAUUAGUGUUAUACCUUUUGUUGCAUGCAUCACUUAUUUCUUGAUAAAUGCCUUCCAUUUCCACUACUGUUUGGGAAACUAUAGACAAUCUCCAACAUGUUCUGUCCAUUGUUGUUUCUUGUCUCCACCAUACAGAUUCCACACCAUAAUUUUCUGAGCCAGUAUCUUUAUAUUAUCUAUUCUAUUCCUUUUCAAACAAUGGUUCCCCAACUCCUUUCUCUUUUUUUUUUCUUCUGACCUUCCUAAGUAAUGAAUACCCCUGGAUGACUAAUUCCCAUCUUUGGUCAUCCUGCAGCCAUAUCUCAGUAAUUGCAACUAUAUCAUAAACACUAUUUCUAAUUGCUAAUUUAUCUGUCUUAUUGUGAGUGCAAGACCACCCAAUACAGGCUGACAGUAUGAAAAUGUGAGGAGAACCAUAACUACAGGGAGUGAAGAUAGAGACACUACUGAUCAUGAUAACAGAUAAAUCGGAGAAUUAUAAUAGAAGGCUAGAGGAAGUUGCAGUGGCAUUUCUCAGGUGACAAUUUCAAAGUCUGUAGUUGUCACUAAGCUUGGAAGAAUUGUAAGCCGUGGAGGAAGAUUGUAUUGGAAUCCCAAAGGAUACAGACUGGUUGGAGUGGGUGGAUAAGAGGCAGGAUGAAAAAAUUCACCAAGGAAAUAUUUUUGAAAUCACCUAAAGAAACAGGCUAUGUAGAAAGGAGCUUUGAAAAUUAAACAACUGUGUUUAUGGAUUGAAUGAUGCAAUGAGAUUAUGGUAUUUCUCAGUUAGAUCCAUCUUACUGAAAGUAGGUGGCAUUCAGCUUAAAGCAGAUCCAUUAAUGUUCUACUACAAUUACAGAGAAGCUGAUAGGCAUCUUUGUGGUGCAUGUGGAUUAUUUUCUGUUGGGAGGUCCUAUGGACGUUUAUCAAUAUGUACUGCAUAAAAAGGGAAUUUAAAGUUGGAAGUUGAGUUUAACCGCAGUCUUACUUGGAAUGUAUUAAUCAUGACCUUAUGUUGGACUACUCCUCAUUGAAACAUGGCUUUGCAUUGAGGGAAGAAACAGAUCUGUUCAGAAAUUUGUUUGGAUGGUUAACAACAAGUUGCAAAGUCAGCUAUGAUGUAUUUGAAUUGAGUACUGCAUUGAAACAUGCUACUGGACAAAAUUUUGAGAGGAAACAAAACAUCAAAGGAAUUAAAUUCUGAAAAAUAUACACAUAAGUUCCUAGCCAUAUCUUUUAGAAAAUAUGAAGCUUGUCCUUUUCAAUAAUGCUUCACAUGCUUUCAUAUGCUGUUCAAAUAUAUCUUUGAUGGAAAUGAUUAUAGUGUUGUCUGGUGACUGGGAAGCCAAGAAAAUAAAAAAGUAGUUGAAAGUACAUCAGCUGCUGAAACUAGUAGAAGGUAUAUCGGUUAUAGUUAUGCAAUAUUCUAAAUACAAAGAGCAAUCUGAGAAAAGUUGCAUGUAGAAUGUUAUGUUUAUAACCAUUCUCUUUGGGACACUGUACAUUUGACAAAGGGUGAGACUGAGAAUAGGUUGCAUAAAUGUGUGUUUUGUUUUAAAAAGAAAGUUUCUAAAAUGAAGUGGAUUGACUUAAAUUAUUAUAGAGUCUUAGAGAUGUAAAGCACGGAAACAGAUCCUUCAGUCCAACUCCUCCAUUCUGACCAGAUAUCCCAA